GUAUGAAAUUGGCGAAUUCAACCUAAAGUCAAAAUUAUAGGUACGCAUGAUCGAUGUAACUUCUUCGAUGGUGUGUUGGCUGUUUGCCCAUGUGUAUUUCGGGGUAUAGGAGUAGCCUCCCCUUUUAAAUAUCCAAAAUGGUGAUUUUACAGUGCGGCAUGCAGUCUGGUCAUCAACGGAGAGUUUUGACACCCGUAAUACCCAUAUUUCUGCCACUCACCUCUGUAACCUUUGUUGAGUUCAUCAGACAGUCCAAGACAGGAAGUUGAGGAAUAAGUUGACAGGACAUCCUGAACUGUCCUCGGUACCAGCUUAUGAGGGAACCAGCUGCAGUGGAUAGAGCACGUUACAUCAUAGGAUAAUAGCAUUGAAUUGGAUUCUUGAACCAGAGCCAUGUGAACCUGGUCCACCUGUACCUCUCAUUGAAGACCUGUUAACAUCACCAGAGUAUGUUCAUUCUGAUACCCCUAUGGUAUGGUUACAACAUGCAUUAUAUCUGUCAGAUGAAGC
Saccostrea cuccullata (small rock oyster) is the source of this 510-nucleotide long non-coding RNA. RefSeq lists it as uncharacterized. Lineage: Eukaryota; Metazoa; Mollusca; Bivalvia; Ostreida; Ostreidae. The transcript is spliced from 5 exons. The record is from RefSeq and is a predicted model, not a curated record.